Molecule: long non-coding RNA, 242 nt
Organism: Sinocyclocheilus rhinocerous
Lineage: Eukaryota; Metazoa; Chordata; Actinopteri; Cypriniformes; Cyprinidae
Exons: 3
Source: RefSeq, a predicted model, not a curated record
GAUUGUCUUCCGGAUCUGACGAAGGUCGUUCUGGCGGGUUCGAGGAGCGCGCUCUAUCAGUUAUUUCACAACAACAGUCUGCAGAAGAAGCAGCUGAGGGCAGAGACAUCAAUCAUGCAUGUGAUCAAGAGAGAUGGUCGUCAGGAGCGUAUUAUGUUCGACAAAAUCACAUCACGCAUCCAGAAACUUUGCUAUGGGCUCAAUGCUGAGUUUGUUGAUCCUGUAAGUUAUGAAAUAGCCUA